GUCGCAUGGCCAACCGAGGAAACGCUCCGGUGCUCCGGGAGGGCCUCGCGGCCUAUCAGCUUGUUGGUGGGGUAACGGCCUACCAAGGCAUCGACGGGUAGCUGGUCUGAGAGGACGAUCACCACCCUGGGACUUAGACCCGGCCCAGACUCCUACGGGAGGCAGCAGUGGGGAAUAUUGCGCAAUGGGCGAAAGCCUGACGCAACAACGCCGCGUGGGGGAUGAAGGCCUUCGGGUUGUUAACCCCUUUCAGCAGGGGCGAAAAUGACGGUACCUGCAGAAGAAGCCCCGGCCAACUUCGUGCCAGCAACCGCGGUAACACGUAGGGGGCAAGCGUUGUCCGGAUUUAUUGGGCGUAAAGAGCUUGUAGGCGGUUGCGUAAGUCGGAUGUGAAAACUCAGGGCUCAACCCGGAGACGCCAUCCGAUUCUGCGCUGACUAGAGUCCGGUAGAGGAGCAUGGAAUUCCUGGUGUAACGGUGAAAUGCGCAGAUAUCAGGAGGAACCCCAGUGGCGAAGGCGGUGCUUUGGGCCGGCCCUGACCCUGAGGAGCGAAAGCGUGGGUAGCGAACAGGAUUAGAUACCCUGGUAGUC
This 592-nucleotide ribosomal RNA is filed under the name uncultured Gram-positive bacterium. RNAcentral describes it as "bacterial SSU rRNA". It matches the Rfam family "Bacterial small subunit ribosomal RNA", at positions 185 to 795 of the family's 1533-position model. The record is from RNAcentral.